GACGAACGCUGGCGGCGUGCUUAACACAUGCAAGUCGAACGGAAAGGCCCUGCUUUUGUGGGGUGCUCGAGUGGCGAACGGGUAAGUAACACGUGAGUAACCUGCCCUUGACUUUGGGAUAACUUCAGUAAACUGGGGCUAAUACCGGAUAGGAGCUCCUGCUGCAUGGUGGGGGUUGGAAAGUUUCGGCGGUUGGGGAUGGACUCGCGGCUUAUCAGCUUGUUGGUGGGGUAGUGGCUUACCAAGGCUUUGACGGGUAGCCGGCCUGAGAGGGUGACCGGCCACAUUGGGACUGAGAUACGGCCCAGACUCCUACGGGAGGCAGCAGUGGGGAAUAUUGCACAAUGGGCGGAAGCCUGAUGCAGCAACGCCGCGUGCGGGAUGACGGCCUUCGGGUUGUAAACCGCUUUCGCCUGUGACGAAGCGUGAGUGACGGUAAUGGGUAAAGAAGCACCGGCUAACUACGUG
RNAcentral lists this ribosomal RNA (468 nucleotides) under uncultured bacterium. RNAcentral's name for it is "partial 16S ribosomal RNA". It matches the Rfam family "Bacterial small subunit ribosomal RNA", at positions 28 to 507 of the family's 1533-position model. The record is from RNAcentral.